Molecule: ribosomal RNA, 253 nt
Filed under: uncultured bacterium
Lineage: Bacteria
Description: partial 16S ribosomal RNA
Rfam family: Bacterial small subunit ribosomal RNA
Source: RNAcentral
UACGGAGGGUGCAAGCGUUAAUCGGAAUUACUGGGCGUAAAGCGCACGCAGGUGGCUGAGUCAGUCGAUUGUGAAAGCCCUGGGCUUAACCUGGGAAUUGCAGUCGAUACUACUCAGCUAGAGUAUGGGAGAGGGCAGUGGAAUUCCCGGUGUAGCGGUGAAAUGCGUAGAUAUCGGGAGGAACAUCAGUGGCGAAGGCGGCUGCCUGGCCCAAUACUGACACUCAGGUGUGACAGCGUGGGGAGCAAACAGG